GAGCCCGUGAAUCUGGACGGCGGAAUUCAGAAUUGUCGGGCGGUCGGCGCUUUCGGGUGCGGGCCGUCGGGCAGUUUGAUUUUUCCGUCGUCGCGCAGACGUCGCGACCUGUUGGACGUCGGUCCCUGUUCGGAGGAACCGCGCGCGAGCUCGCUGCGGCCGUGUGUGUGACGUUUCGGCGUUGCGCGCGCUGUCGCGGCGAAGCGCGCGGACUUCUGGCCGACUCGUCCGACAGUAUGCGGUACGCGCGGUGUCCGGUUUGCCGCUGCCACUCGUGUACGCGGCGCCGGUGCCGGUCGGCGACGAUUUCUUCGGGCCUCUUUCCGACC
Molecule: ribosomal RNA, 329 nt
Filed under: Stibococcus cerinus
Lineage: Eukaryota; Metazoa; Arthropoda; Insecta; Hemiptera; Eriococcidae
Description: partial 28S ribosomal RNA
Source: RNAcentral